UACAGAGGGGGCAAGCGUUGUUCGGAAUUACUGGGCGUAAAGGGCGCGUAGGCGGCCUUCUAAGUCGAACGUGAAAUCCCCGGGCUCAACCCGGGAACUGCGUCCGAUACUGGAAGGCUUGAAUCCGGGAGAGGGAUGCGGAAUUCCAGGUGUAGCGGUGAAAUGCGUAGAUAUCUGGAGGAACACCGAUUGCGAAGGCAGCUCGCUGGGACGUUACUGACGCUGAGACGCGAAAGCGUGGGGAGCAAACAGG
RNAcentral lists this ribosomal RNA (253 nucleotides) under uncultured bacterium. RNAcentral describes it as "partial 16S ribosomal RNA". It matches the Rfam family "Bacterial small subunit ribosomal RNA", at positions 524 to 776 of the family's 1533-position model. The record is from RNAcentral.